CGACCGGCGCACGGGUGAGUAACGCGUAUCCAACCUGCCUUACACUCUUGGACAGCCUUCUGAAGGAGAUUAAUACAAGAUGUUAUCAUGAGUAAGCAUUUUGCAUGAUUAAAGGUUUACCGGUGUAAGAUGGGGAUGCGUUCCAUUAGAUAGUAGGCGGGGUAACGGCCCACCUAGUCUUCGAUGGAUAGGGGUUCUGAGAGGAAGGUCCCCCACAUUGGAACUGAGACACGGUCCAA
RNAcentral lists this ribosomal RNA (239 nucleotides) under uncultured bacterium. RNAcentral describes it as "partial 16S ribosomal RNA". It matches the Rfam family "Bacterial small subunit ribosomal RNA", at positions 92 to 334 of the family's 1533-position model. The record is from RNAcentral.